RNAcentral lists this ribosomal RNA (253 nucleotides) under uncultured bacterium. RNAcentral describes it as "partial 16S ribosomal RNA". It matches the Rfam family "Bacterial small subunit ribosomal RNA", at positions 524 to 776 of the family's 1533-position model. The record is from RNAcentral.
UACAGAGGUCCCAAGCGUUGUUCGGAUUCACUGGGCGUAAAGGGUGCGUAGGUGGUGAGGUAAGUCGGAUGUGAAAUCUCCGAGCUCAACUCGGAAAUGGCAUUGGAAACUACCUUGCUAGAGGAUUGGAGGGGAGACUGGAAUGCUUGGUGUAGCAGUGAAAUGCGUAGAUAUCAAGCGGAACACCAGUGGCGAAGGCGAGUCUCUGGGCCGAUACUGACGCUGAGGAGCGAAAGCGUGGGGAGCGAACAGG